Molecule: long non-coding RNA, 455 nt
Organism: Trachemys scripta elegans
Lineage: Eukaryota; Metazoa; Chordata; Testudines; Emydidae
Exons: 3
Source: RefSeq, a predicted model, not a curated record
CUUGAGUGAGAUGCCAUUAUUUCUCUUGCCAACUUCAUUCCAACCAAGUGUCUCUCACCAUCCCGCUUCUGCUUCUUUUUAUAGUUAAGUGCCAUAGGGGAAGCUAAGAGGAGACUUGAGCCAACCUGGGCCAGCUCAAAAGUUCUACGGUUUCUGCCUGUUCCAAUGUUCACCCAUCUACCUGGUCUGUGGGGAAAUAUCCGUUACAGGAUUUUGCCUCUCAGCCCAUCCUGGUUUUUGGCUUGGCAGACCCGAUGAGAAUGAACCAUUAACCGAGUCUGAUCAGCUGUUAAGGAGGAAGGAAACAGAAAGUUAUCCUGGAAAAGAACCAGAAGGGUCACAGCUGUAAGAAGAAAGAAUCCCUCGGCAGCAGAGAGCUGAUGACAGGUACCAGUAGGAUUCCAAAGCUUCAGAUGCACAUGACUGAGAAGAUAUUUAGAUCAGAAAGGGGCUGA